ACCUGGGUGGCUCAGUUGGUUAAGCAUCUGACUUCAGCUCAGGUCAUGAUCUCAUAGUUUGUGAGUUCAAGCCCCACAUCAGGUU
RNAcentral lists this transfer RNA (85 nucleotides) under Felis catus (domestic cat). It matches the Rfam family "tRNA". From Rfam's summary of the family: Transfer RNA (tRNA) molecules are approximately 80 nucleotides in length. Their secondary structure includes four short double-helical elements and three loops (D, anti-codon, and T loops). Lineage: Eukaryota; Metazoa; Chordata; Mammalia; Carnivora; Felidae. RNAcentral also lists the same sequence under 2 other names. The record is from Rfam by way of RNAcentral.